ACCUACAGCCCCAACCACCCAAACAUAAGUACUAAAAUGUUGGUGACCUAUCUGAUCUCAGAAGCUAAGCAGGGUCAGGCCUGGUUAGCACUUGGAUGGGAGACCACCUAGGAAGGCCAGGUGCUGUAGGCA
This is a ribosomal RNA of Pteropus vampyrus (large flying fox), 132 nucleotides long. The record is from Ensembl. NCBI's taxonomy places the organism in Eukaryota, Metazoa, Chordata, Mammalia, Chiroptera, Pteropodidae.